Molecule: ribosomal RNA, 492 nt
Filed under: uncultured bacterium
Lineage: Bacteria
Description: partial 16S ribosomal RNA
Rfam family: Bacterial small subunit ribosomal RNA
Source: RNAcentral
AGUGAACGCUGGCGGUACGCCUAACACAUGCAAGUCGAACGGCAGCACAGUAAGAGCUUGCUCUUACGGGUGGCGAGUGGCGGACGGGUGAGGAAUACAUCGGAAUCUACUUUUUCGUGGGGGAUAACGUAGGGAAACUUACGCUAAUACCGCAUACGACCUACGGGUGAAAGCAGUGGAUCUUCGGACCUUUCGCGAUUGAAUGAGCCGAUGUCGGAUUAGCUAGUUGGCGGGGUAAAGGCCCACCAAGGCGACGAUCCGUAGCUGGUCUGAGAGGAUGAUCAGCCACACUGGAACUGAGACACGGUCCAGACUCCUACGGGAGGCAGCAGUGGGGAAUAUUGGACAAUGGGCGCAAGCCUGAUCCAGCCAUACCGCGUGGGUGAAGAAGGCCUUCGGGUUGUAAAGCCCUUUUGUUGGGAAAGAAAAGCAGCAGGUUAAUACCCCGCUGUUCUGACGGUACCCAAAGAAUAAGCACCGGCUAACUUCGUG